Molecule: long non-coding RNA, 700 nt
Filed under: Setaria viridis
Lineage: Eukaryota; Viridiplantae; Streptophyta; Magnoliopsida; Poales; Poaceae
Description: long non-coding RNA (SVIR_LNC001825)
Source: RNAcentral
GUCUGCCAGUCAUGCAUGCGUGAAACAUUAAAAACCAUUACAUGUAACAUAUUCUUAUAACAUUAGCAACAUUGCAGAUCUACUUGAUGGACUAUGCAACAUCGUCAAUUAGUGAAACAUCUCAGGUAAGCUACUGCAACAUUGAAAAGUCUUGUACAGAUCCAGAGACCUCAUCCUUGAAGGAGCCUCUAUCCAUCACAAAGAAGCUCCCCUAGUGAGGCCGGCCCCCACCGUGGAAUCCGCUGUUGGAACAGCUAGACCUACCGUGGAAUCUAGCAGCUGGCCUCAUGGUCAAGGAGCUCAUCAACGUGGAGUAGCUCGUUAUCGCGAAGGCCACCAUCGUCUUGUGAGAACUCUUGCCGCCAUGGACGAGGUCCAGGACCUCGCGCACGACAUGGACGAGUGCCGCGCCAUCGAUGAAUUCAUGCAGGGCAGGGCGGCACCUGCACUCGCACUCGCACCCUGAAGGAGGAUGGGAUGAUUUGGUUUGUUUUUUUUAAAGAGGAAUGGGAGAUGAGGCGCACGGCUGCUAUGGUGAUAAGAACGAGAAGGGAUAGGAGCGGCGGAUGGGUGAGCUGUUAUAUAUUUUGUUUAGUAAAGUUUCAAGUCCGUGGGUCCUGGGCUCGUUACGUGGGCAGCGCGCGCGAACCAACCGAGGCUGGUCGGACGACCGAGUAGUACCAAUUCCAUAAGCAAAUUC